Molecule: ribosomal RNA, 216 nt
Filed under: uncultured bacterium
Lineage: Bacteria
Description: partial 16S ribosomal RNA
Rfam family: Bacterial small subunit ribosomal RNA
Source: RNAcentral
GCAAGUCGAACGUAUUUAUUUACGUGGCAAACGGGUGCGUAACACGUACUUAUCUGCCCUGGAGUGGGGGACAACAUCGGAAACGGUGCUAAUCCGCCAUAAUCCCUACGGGGGAAAGAAUUUAUUCGCUCUAGGAGGAGGGUGCGGCCUAUUAGUUAGUUGGUGAGGUAAUAGCUCACCAAGACGAUGAUGGGUAGCUGGUCUGAGAGGAUGAUC